AGACCCGAAACCCGGUGAUCUAGCCAUGGGCAGGUUGAAGGUUGGGUAACACUAACUGGAGGACCGAACCGACUAAUGUUGAAAAAUUAGCGGAUGACCUGUGGCUGGGGGUGAAAGGCCAAUCAAACCGGGAGAUAGCUGGUUCUCCCCGAAAGCUAUUUAGGUAGCGCCUCGUGAAUUCAUCUCCGGGGGUAGAGCACUGUUUCGGCUAGGGGGCCAUCCCGGCUUACCAACCCGAUGCAAACUGCGAAUACCGGAGAAUGUUAUCACGGGAGACACACGGCGGGUGCUAACGUCCGUCGUGAAGAGGGAAACAACCCAGACCGCCAGCUAAGGUCCCAAAGUCAUGGUUAAGUGGGAAACGAUGUGGGAAGGCCCAGACAGCCAGGAUGUUGGCUUAGAAGCAGCCAUCAUUUAAAGAAAGCGUAAUAGCUCACUGGUCGAGUCGGCCUGCGCGGAAGAUGUAACGGGGCUAAACCAUGCACCGAAGCUGCGGCAGCGAACGUAUCACUUAAAGCGAUUCAGCGGGUUACGAUUGACGGAGCGAAGCGACGUCAAAGCGUAUACAAAGUCGAGUCGGUUUAAGGAUACGUUCGUUGGGUAGGGGAGCGUUCUGUAAGCCCGUGAAGGUGGCCUGUGAGGGUUGCUGGAGGUAUCAGAAGUGCGAAUGCUGACAUAAGUAACGAUAAAGCGGGUGA
This 698-nucleotide ribosomal RNA is filed under the name Salmonella enterica. Its description in RNAcentral is "partial 23S ribosomal RNA". It matches the Rfam family "Bacterial large subunit ribosomal RNA", at positions 711 to 1324 of the family's 2925-position model. The record is from RNAcentral. Lineage: Bacteria; Pseudomonadati; Pseudomonadota; Gammaproteobacteria; Enterobacterales; Enterobacteriaceae.